Molecule: long non-coding RNA, 157 nt
Organism: Erigeron canadensis
Lineage: Eukaryota; Viridiplantae; Streptophyta; Magnoliopsida; Asterales; Asteraceae
Exons: 3
Source: RefSeq, a predicted model, not a curated record
UAUGCUGUCGUUGCCAUAAUGGGUCCUCAAAGUAGUGGGAAGAGCACACUUUUGAACAAUCUUUUUUACACAAAUUUCAGGGUCUCAAACCACCAAAGGUAUAUGGAUGGCAAGGUGUGUUGGUAUUGAACCUUGCACCAUUGUAAUGGAUCUCGAG